UUUCAUAUCGGCUGCUGUCUCGUGCGGUUUUCACGAGUCUGGCAUUAUAUUCGUGAGCGACGAUACACGUUGAGUUUCACCGGUUUUUACCGCGAGGUCAACGCGAUAGGAUCGCGAAACAGCACGACGGGGCAGGUAUAAGCGAAUUCGCGGCAGCUUGUUAGGUGAACAACAACGCCGUUUUGUUUUCUCGAAGGAGUAUGGGACUGUAGCCUUGUGGAACUCGAAUGCGUCUACCAGGCUCUUCUUUAUGUCGAAAGUUGUCAGUUGUCACUGCCGAUUGGACUAUUCAAAUGGUAAAGAAGGGCGUUGGACGAGUGUCGAGCAUCCAUACAAGACCGCCUCCUGUCAUUAGGAUACACUACACCAUGCAUGAGAAUAAAUGCAAAGAAACAUUGUAAGACUUACCUGGUACAAUAUACAGGGUGAAACUAUGGUGGUCCAUGCUGUGUACUUUUGGAGGAUAGACUCUGCAGGGAAGAAUCUUUAUUAAGGGGCUGGUCUAGGGACGUCUUUUCUUUAUGGAUAAGAUAAGAUGAAAUAUUUCAGUCUUGGAUAAAAAAGGUAUCGUCACCGCAAUGCAAACUAGGGACUUGACUGCUCUAUUCGAUAGGCAACCCUUAUUCUCUGUUCACCCUUGCUCGGCAUAUUGUCCCUGUUCACGUAUAGCGUAGUAGAAGGAAUAUUUCACACGCGUUCGGCACGCAUCGAGACUAACCAGGGUCACCCCCUUAUAAAAUUUAAACUCUAAAGGGUUGUCGUGGCUUCGGUUACUUAUUUAUUAACCCAUCAAUUUGUUAGCGUCAUUGUGAUGCUGUGCAAUGGCACAGUACGCUCUGUAAUGGGAUCGGAUAAGCCGGAUGUGGGAGUUUAUCUAAAUCGUAGGUCCUUUAUGCUCCAAAUCGAAUCUACGAUAAGACUCUGUACACGAUCAGGGAAGUGGUUACCCUUCGUGAACGGAGCGUAUAGAUACCACGAUACACUCGUUACCGGAUGGGAUCAUUCGAGACACAAGAUAAAAAAUGUGGUCUGAAAAUAAUUGUCAAUUCCACGGAAUAUUUCCCUAGGCUGACCCCGAUGAACGCACCGGGUCUUGCGGUGUUCCAGUAGAAGAGGAUACAAUAAGAGUCGAACGGCUCGACACCUCGUAAGCCCAUUUAUCCAGGAGCAACCCCCCGCCUCUUAAUAUACUGGCAGCAAACUGUCUGUUAACCAGGUUGCCGUUAAGCGGACUGUGAGUAAAAUGGAAACAAACAACGAUCAUUUCGCACAAUGAGAUUCGACGUCGAAGCUACAGACUGUGGUCGAGAUUCGGUUCUGUCGCAUUGUGCCGACCUCGAUACUUUUAUUCUGCCUACUCGAGGACCCUCUUCCUAUUGGCCGAGUAUGAUCGUGAAUAAAUUUGUUGAGCGCGUGUGCGCACGCAUUAAAUGAGAUUCGAUGGCUUUUAUGAAAGUUCAUGCCUGAGGAGAUGUUGAGUAUAUAUUUUUUUUGCUUUUACAAAUACACAAGUUGUCUAUAAAUACACUAGAUUUUGGAAAUAAGAAAGAAUAGGGGAUGAAAUAAUGUUCCUUAUUGUCAGUGGUAUAAGCAGGCGUGGUUAAAAUUGUCGCAGAUUACUGUAGCGACAUAUGUCAUGAGAAUCCCACGGCCAAAGGAUACCGAUGACGUGUGUUUGAUUCAUAACAGAAGAUCAAGUGGGAUUUGUAGAAUUUGUCAGGGAUUAUUGUAUUAGUAAAAUGCGUUCACGAUUCCCAGGGUACAAGUUUGCCACUGUAUUGUUCCUUGCAGAAGAUUCGAUCAUUUAAUAGAUGAUCAAUCAUGGUUAUGUAUAAUCGUUAAGAGUGUAUGUAAUUACCAGGUGCUUUCGGUUGAUACACGUUUUAAGUAUUGGGUUAUGUAAUAAAGGGUGGUAGGGUACCUUAAUAAGAUACUACCGAUAAGAAGGAGCAUUUAUCCAUUAAAUGUUUUAUAUAUAUUUUUCAAGUUUUUCCUGGUGCACCAGGAAUUACCGUACAGUGGCUAACAUAGGUAUUCAAACGAUUAGAGAGUAUCCUGAGUUAAUCCGAAUGCCUAAGGCUAAUUGGAUCGAUAAAUAAAUUUUAACGGCUAACAAAUUAGAUUCCAGUAGUCAUUGCUCAGUGGACAGCUGAGGGCAGGUGAUCAACGCGCUGCUUGAAUACUAAUAAAGCAGCGAGGUGACCAACCGGCCGAACGGACGAUCUCACGACGCCAGUUUUAAUGGAUUACUUGACCGUCGGUUAGCCUGCUUGUGCUCUACAGGAAACAGAUGCUCGCACGCACGCGCGCGACUUGCCGUAGCUAUCUAUAAGCGUAAGAUCAUUAUUAAGAGAUUAAAGGGAAGCCAAUUUAAUUUUUAGAUGAACCAGCAAUCAGACUUCAACAACCACCAGCGGAUAUCCGCACGACGAAGAAAGAAGCCAUGGAUUUCAGAUGACCGUUUAUGAAAGUCGGACGGAUUUUAUCAAGAUUGCAGAACGCGCGUUAUUAUUUGCGAAUUUACAUUCUCUUGCCCUACGUCGACUUUCGUUAGGUUCACACGUUUACACCCCAGAACGUGCCACUUGUACGAAGCUCGAGCGGCAGCAGCGACGGCGGCGGCUUUGAAGGGCGGUUAAGUUAGGGGUUGGUGGGAUGCUGGUUAUUUAAUCUUUAAUCCUGAUACUCGAGGGUGACUCUGUCACCGAUACUCUAGUUAUGUGCGCCGUAACACUGGCACCCUCCCUCGAGCGAUUUUUGGGGUUGCCCGACGUACGUCCGAUAGGGGAGAGUUGGGAUUGAUCUGCACAAAUCUCAAUGCUUAUGAUUGACAUUUUUUUUUUAUGAAAGAAAAGUUCUUACGUGCUUCGAACUCUUGGUCCGUGGGGUGGGUUUUCUCCUUUUUUCAAUUUUUUUUUCUUACUCCCUCCCCUAGUCACGGUAAUAAACGAACCUUUAUAAUCUGUUGAAUUAAUAGACAGUUACACUUGGUCCGAAGGAGAAGUGUGAUGGCCGCGGGCAAAAAUGUACCUAAAUAACAGCUCAGGUGGCUCCGCUAGGAUGUUAUUACUACGUGAGUUGCGAUUCACGAAUGACACGGCAGUAAGAUUUAUGAGUGUGCUUCCUCUGUGAUUAGCUUUCUUUAUGCGGAACAUUUACAUAUAGUACGUAAGCCACUAUAAUUCCAAAGUUUUUGUCAAGGCUCUCUAGGAGCGAGUGGCGGCCUUACUGUUGGUACUGUACGUACAUCGGCCAUCCGACUCCGCGUCCAGGAAGCGAUAGCACGAGAAUACGAAGGAUAGAGAAAAUAUCUUUAUUUCAGAGAUUCUUCGAGUCGUCCAAGUAUCCUUCCAUUCCAAAACGACAAUCCUAUUGAGAGUUUCGUUUGAAUGGUAAUAUUUAUAAAAGCGGCCCCUCGCUGAUACUUGCACAAUUUUAAGGGGUGUCCACAGGCAGGACUAGAUAUCCUAGAGGCAGACCCGAUUCAAGGGACAGUAAGCAUAUUGUCUCGCUCGAAUGGAAUAUAGGGUAGCCCUUGUCUCGGUGCGCAGGACCCCCCAUGGGAACAUUUCACACCGGUAACCACCGCAACCCCUGGUAACCCUCUGUAGUUUGGUUACACAAAGUCGAUUUAGUUAGGGAUGGUUUAGUCUCUGAUUUAUAACUCUCAAGUUCACCUCGAGAAUGGAUCUACUUAAGCUGAUAUCACUGGUCGACGGUACAUCGGAGCGCAAUAUGAAGAACGAUGCCACCUGGAGACGAGGAGUCCGGUCCGUGCUCUGUAGAGACGAGGAACUUCUAUAUUGGUUAUUGGUAUCUCCAAGCAGGGUAACACCUAUACGAUUAGCCCAGGGCGGAGCACGGAGCGUGGCCGUCGGAGGAAGGGAACUGACCGUUCGUAUCUCUGGGUCUACGUACCACUGCGUCCUACCGCCCUGGAGAUGAAGAUACCAAAGAGGGCGGACUUCCUCACCUAUAAAUCGCCGUCCUAGCGAGGAUCGAGGUGCUAGCUGAAGCACCCUCUGCGGCAUAUUGUUUGACGUCACUGGGAUUGGCAUUGGCUCCGAGCUACACACCCUGUAUAUUUUUCUGGAGCUCGCGGUACUCCUUUACUCUGGACAUAAAUAAUCCAUGGACUUGCUGCUGCAGCGUACGUUGAGGUUACGGCCAGAGAAUAUCAUCCCGUUUAUCGUCUGGACUUUGUUUGGAUAAAUGAUUAUGAUAAUGGAUAACUCGAAUGGCGAAUUCUUUGGAUGCAAAGAGACGUGGGUAUGAAUAAGGGGCUAAGUCGGAUCAGACGGAAUCAUGACGAUUCUGAGGAACGCCCGGGAUUCAUGCUAGAUUUGAUUUAACGCUCUCUUAAAUGAUCCCACAGAGAUCGGCACGUGCCAGUCGCACCCCCCUUGAUCUGGAGCUGUUUGGCCAGGGCGAGGAACCCUACGCAACCUGGAUACAGGGCUGCAUACGCGACCUGGCGCUAAGUCACCAACGUCAACAGGGAAUCACUUGGGGUGGAUUCACGUCGAGUAUUUGCUUAGGGACAUCCGUUUGUUUUUCUAGGAUCAGUACCAAUUUGCCACUUCACUUUUGAUCCUCAGAAUGUUUUUACAGGUAUGCCUAGCUGUGAUACCUGUUGGUUCUAUCCAGAUGGAUAUGUAUUCAAAUAAACCGCGGGAGGGUCGAACGUCAAGAGGCCCAAUAUUUAUUACUUUAGUGUUUACAGGACUCUGGCCACGCGCCGAGACGUUUGGGUCAGGGAAAACAUUUCAGAAGAAUAAAAAAGAUCUAGAAUUCUCUAGAUUUUCUAACAAACUUCAACGCACUCGUGGUUCAAUAGCUACUGCAAACUUUCCCACAAACGUGACUUCCAUCCUGGUUCUUCAUAAUUCUGUGACUUAACAGUUAGCACAUGGUAUCCCAUAGGACCCAGGACGGGUUCCCAUAUCAUAGAUGCAAAGCUUGAUGUAUCGAUGCUUUAUGAUUAUGCUGGCCCCAUACACAGACCGCCCACCCCCGUGAGCCCACUGUGCAAUGGCAUCAUAACCUUAUGGAACAGCAAACUCACCCUAAUGGUCGGAUUAGUUUUUGAUAGGUGCACGAGGCAGGGAUGCAGUUUGUUCCUACCUAAAAUUCAUAUUCAUAGGACGUUUCUGUGAUCGAUGUCGGAGAACCCGGUUAGCUCUACGUUUUUACCAGCCUUAGACACGGUAAUGUGAAAGUCAAAAAGACGUCACAUGACGUAUGACAUUUUCAAGAGAUUUUCAAUUGGUCCAAAGAAUUUCCAUGCGAUCUGGAGCAACAGGCCCAAACGUUGACCUCAGCAUCAGAGCCAGUAGAGCCAAUAUCUCAAUAUCGUUAUCUCCUGUCUAAACGACAGAAUAGACAAGCCACUGCUAUAUGGGUUCGGCGCUCACUCAUAAUCUUACGUAGGAUCUUGCUCGGUGUAGUCAGUGUAGGUACUAGCAAAGCAGGGUUGGAUACCCUUCCAUUCGGGUUCCUUCCCUGGCUCUUGGUUCAAGAGAGCCAGGUCCCUGACGAGAGACCCGAAAUGGAAUCAUCGAUCGAUAGGCGAUCUGGUUGCAACAAACCUUUCAAUCAUGCGACACCCAUCGACUGCGCGGCUCCCAUUAUUUCAAACAAAUGGAACCAGUCCGGCUCUUUUAAACAGAUAGACUCCGUACGAAUAGAUGUUUAAAGCUCCGAUCUUAUCAGUGAUGCAUGAGAAGUGACUGCUUACCUGUAUUAUCUGCGCGAGUUCUCGCUAUGCUUUUUCGUAGAACCGAAGAAAGACAAGUGGAUGAGGAUGAAGGAGCCCAGAGCAACAUCACCAGAGGACACGUCCACUGCGAUCAUCCAAAUAACAUUGAUUAGGGGUACCACUGCGACGAUGAUGACGAUGGCUAAUUUUUUUCACGUUGACGUCCAUGACUACUUCAUAAUUCCAACCAAUCCCAGAGCUCCAAAUCGUUUGUUUACUUAUUGGACAAUUUGAAUAACCCUGACGUGCAGACAGCAGCUGAGUAUAGUGCGCAGGAACUUCGAGGCCUAUUGGCGGCUACCGGCGUCCCUGGCUACAUAUACGUGCGCUCUUAACUAGCUCCUCGGAAGCGGGGCAUGCGACCAUUUAUCACCCGGAGACAGAACCACUCUACCUACUACCAACUUCUCCGUUGCUUCAUAAGCUGUAACAAUGUGGGAACACCGCGAACUCGAUUAUCUGCUCUCCUCUACGCGCUGCACUACGGAACUCGUAGGAGUAACACGGUAGCGUGUUACGUACUUGCAUAGAAGUGCCUGGAACAUUGUGCGUAUAGGAACUAGAAAGUAGUUGUAUAGGUUAGGUUAGCAGCGAUAGAGACCUUGGUUCCUCUUUAAAAAAAAAAAAAAAAAAAAAAA
Molecule: long non-coding RNA, 6396 nt
Organism: Cephus cinctus (wheat stem sawfly)
Lineage: Eukaryota; Metazoa; Arthropoda; Insecta; Hymenoptera; Cephidae
Exons: 9
Source: RefSeq, a predicted model, not a curated record